AGCAGCCGCGGUAAUUCCAGCUCCAAUAGCGUAUAUUAAAGUUGCUGCAGUUAAAAAGCUCGUAGUUGAAUUUCGGGACCAUCAUGUCGGUCGUGCUUAGGUACGUACUGGUAUUGUUGGUUUCUCCCUUCUGACGAACCAUGAUGUCAUUUAUUUGGUGUUGUGGGGAAUCAGGACUGUUACUUUGAAAAAAUUAGAGUGUUUAAAGCAGGCUCACGCUUGAAUACAUUAGCAUGGAAUAAUGAAAUAGGACGUUUGAUUCUAUUUUGUUGGUUUCUAGGAUCGACGUAAUGAUUAAUAGGGAUAGUUGGGAGCAUUAGUAUUCAAUUGUCAGAGGUGAAAUUCUUGGAUUUAUUGAAGACUAACUACUGCGAAAGCAUUUGCCAAGGAUGUUUUCAUUAAUCAAGAACGAAAGUUAGGGGAUCGAAGACGAUCAGAUACCGUCGUAGUCUUAACCAUAAACUAUGCCGACUAGGGAUCGGAUGAUGUUAAAUUUUUAAUGACUCAUUCGGCGCCUUACG
Molecule: ribosomal RNA, 521 nt
Filed under: uncultured Glomus
Lineage: Eukaryota; Fungi; Glomeromycota; Glomeromycetes; Glomerales; Glomeraceae
Description: SSU rRNA
Rfam family: Eukaryotic small subunit ribosomal RNA
Source: RNAcentral